GUUUAGCACAUUAGAAAUUCGAAUCUAAAAAUAUCCCAUGAAAAGCAUGACAUGCUUUGAUAUAUGAGUUUAUGCCACAAGAGCAGCUACAACAACAACAAUAAACCCAAUGUAAUCCCACAAGUGGGGUCUGAGGAGGAUAGAGUUUAUGCAGAUCUUACCCCUACCUUGGGAGGUAGAGGACGGACCCUCAACUCAAUGAAAAGCAUGAUAUGCUUUCUAUAUGAGUUUAUGCCAUAAGAACAACAACAACAAGAACAAUAAUAAAUCCAGCGUAAUCCCACAAGUGAGGUCAGGAUAGAGUUUAUGCAGACCUUAUCCCUACCUUGGGAGGUAGAGAGGUUGUUCCAAUUAAUCCUCGGCUCAAUAAAAAGCAUGAUAUAUGAGUUUAUGCCACAAGUGCGUAAUAUAUAAAAUACAAUUACCUGUAAAAGUUCACCAACAUUUACUACUAAUGCACCAGAGACAGGAGGAAUAUCAACCCAGUAAUUCUUAUGAAUAACCUGAAGGCCUCCUAAAUGAUCUUGUAGCAGCACUGUGAGGAAGUCACUGUCUGAAUGCUUGCCAACUCCAACAGUUAACUCUGGCUCAGGGCAUGCUGGAUAACAAUGAUACAAAACAGCAAGCCCCUCCGAACAACCAAUGUCAUUCAGAUAGCUCGAGUUGAGGCCAAGAGCUUCAGAGAGUAAUUCAAACAAAAAACGACCUAACUUCUUCACUUGCUCCGCGUACUCGAUCAGAAUAUCCCUGCAGUAAAAUAAAAUAAUGUACGUAACAGUUCAUUAGACUUUGUGUAUUUACUUCUUUCACGUUGAUGAGUGAAAACUCUGGCUCUGCUAUUGAUUACGUUUACAAAUGACAUUUAGAGUAUUAAGCCUUGCUAUACCUCAAAAAUGACUUAUUUUUCUUUUUUAGUCUGUUUAAAAAAGAAUAAUCUCUUUUCUUUUUCGGUAACAUUUUAAUUUCAGCUCUCCACGUGGCAUGUUUAAGGCCACAAGAUUAAACGGCAAUUUUAUACAUCUGACAUAACUUUAAUUUAGGACCACAAAAUUCAAAAGUCUUCUUUGUUUUCUUAAACUCGGUGUCAAGUCAAACUAGGCCAUUCUUUUUGGAACGGAGGGAGUACUACAAUUUACAACAGAAACACUACAAAUCAUAUUGGAAAAAAGCUUCAAGAACUUUGUUUGAACACCCUGAAAAUGCAUCUGCUUAACUAUUGGGCAUAAAUUUCAAAAUAUGGUUGAAAUCCGCCAGCAUUUUCACUAAGGAUAUUCAAAAUAUAAAGAAAUAAACACACGGAGACGCUAGGGGAAUUCAACAUCUACUAUAUAUACCAUCUAAUUUUCAAAUCAACGAGUAAAUACCUACAAGCCUCUGGCAAUUCAUCAGCAGAAGGAGGUUGUGGGGCCAUAUUACAAUAAGUAGUAUCCCUCCAGUUAGCUGGUGCAGACUUAAACAGAUCAAAAUUGCUAUUAUACACAACUUUUUUCGAUGUAUCCCGUGUAUACCAUUGUUUCUUCACCUCAGUAUCUUGCUCAUAAAAUCUUCUAACACCAUUCAACAUUUCUUCCAAAACACUUUGAGGAAUUCCAUGAUUCACCACUUGAAAAAAAACCCACACUUCCGAUGCAUCGCAUAUUUUUUAGAUGAUUUCCUUAUGUUGUAUUGGAUCUUUACUUAUGCCAUCCAAGUCUAUAACAAGACUACAGAAUUGAUUUUUUUCAGGAUUAUUUGAAAUUACAAAUAUAACUUUAAUUAUGUUACUUAAUUAUUUUAGUUCGAAUUGGAUUACAUUUUUUAUGAAUCAAAAACCAAAAGAUCCAAACCAAAUAAUAUAAAAUCAAUCCGAAAAAAUCAAAUGCACACCAAGAAACAAGUCGUUGUCCUAAAUAAGAUAAAGCAACAAAUUACAUAAUUAAUUUCACUGAGGCACAAACAAUUGCACACAUGAUGAAUGAAAUUGAUGUUCCAUUAUACUUAACUGAACCAAAGCAAACAGAUUUCAUACAUGACAUAAUUCAUAUCCUAUGCCUACUGUCACAAAAGUUCCUAAAAAAGACUUUGCAAUAGAAUUCCUACAUUGCUUGUUUAUUUUGAUAACCAAGAAAUCCUCGAGGCUAACGAGGGCUCAAAACUCUAUGGAUAAUGAGUCCACCUACCUAGUAACAAUAAUCUUCUCAACCAAAUCACAGCAGAUAGAAAAACGAAAAAUCUUGGAGUCUAUGUCGAGCUAAAACAUACUGUUAAAUCUGCACAAGGUAAGUAAUUACAUCAAUUCUCAUACGAACUCUAUAUUGACUUCACUUUGAAGGUUAUGCAGAAAAAGGCAGUUUUUUAUUUGUUUAAAGUAACGAAAACUGAAGUAGAGCCAAAAGUUAAUUUUGAACAUCCUCAAAAUGAACCAAAUCACAACAUCCAAAGGAGGAGAGUUCCAACAGCUAAAUCAUUAAUGUCCAAUGAUACCAGCUCGUAUUAUGUAGGGCAGUCCUUUGAAGCAGUAGCAAUUUGAAACAAAAUUUCGAGAUCUUUUUUUUUUUUUUUUGAUAACCGAGAAAUCCGUCUGUGACCCGCCCUUUGGACCAAUCACAGCCUUCUAAACUCGGUGGAUAAUGGGCCCGCCCCUCUACCCUUCUCCACUUAAAUACCGGGCUUCGCUUUGCAUGGCGUGGGGCUUGAACCUGCGACCUAAGCCACAAAUCCUCCACCUUUUGCCACUUGAGCUAGGCCUUGGGGGUGAGAACAUCUUUUCAUUGGAUGAAAGUGAGUUAGUAUGCUAAUUCCUCAUCUGCAAAUCUGCCCUUAGCAAUAACUGAAAUACAUGUUCUCAAGGACAAACCAAGUAAAACAAAUGGUAACUAGAAGUAUUCUUUCAAGGAUUAAAAAGGUUCCCGACCAGCUUCUGAAUCGACAAAAUUGGGGUCGUACAUCUCAUAUUCAUAAUCAGCAUCAAGGUCCUCCAUUGUUCUGCCAAAUACAAAGUGUUUUGUUCCCAUGGUUGUAAAAGGCAUCAGACCGAAAGCUCUGGCAGUUUUUAUCUCCCUGGCAAUCUUUCUUUGGGCCUUGGCACUAAUUCCAGUCUAUACAUGACCGAAAAGAGAGAAUAAGAAACACUUGCAUAUUCAAUCGUCAAAAAUUAGUCGAUGGAUUUGAUUACGAACCUUGCUCCUCUUGUGGAGAAUUCCCGCCUCCGUGAUGAAGUUAGCUAGGAAUCUCACAUUCUGUAUUGCAAAUUUGUUAAAGGUAUAAAUCAGAUAACUUCGUAAGAGUCAGAAGGCUCGCAAUGGGCCAAAAUUACAAGGCAGUACUUGGGAGGAAGAUACUACUUUUAUGUUUAUAAGCAACAUCACGGUGCUUAGAACAUGAUAUUCAGCAACAAUAAACUAAACAGAGAUCUGAUGCUAAGAAUAACAAAUAAGUAAUAUACGUGCUCAAGGGUGUUUCCAUGUGCAGACAUUGGGGUGCAUAUGUGGAUACAUUUUAAAGCCAUACAUGGUCAAAGUGAUGUAGAACAAAGAAUACAAACCCUGAAAUCAGCUUUGCGCAAAACUUCCUCUGUCGUAGUUUCAAAUUCAUCCCUUUUUUUGGGCUUGCGAACUCCUGGUUUUCUAAGAUCAAGAUCCUGCAUGAUAAUAAUGAAAAGCUUAGAGGUGGACAUGACAGCAUCAUAGGAAAUAUAGAGCAAGAGAACAUGUUGAGCUAUGGCAACAAAUUAAUGUCAUCCAUAAGUUUGCCCUUCCAACAGCGAACAAAGCAUGAAAACGAGGUGUACUAGGAAAUACACACUUAAGAGUAUACAAUUCUAGCAGGCCCAAACAAUUGAAUGUUUGAUGGAAGCUGUUGAAAGUUGAAACACUAAUAUGGGUACAAGAUAUACAAAAACCACAGUGAGACAUAUCCUUACAUGGAAUUGACACUCAAGAUGUUAAAAGCAUACAACAAAUGGUAGCUCAUUACUCAUACCUUGAGUUCAUAAGUGUUCCCGGGCCAAAAGGUCAUAUCUGCUCUGUAAGCAUAAUCUUCUUUGUCUACUUCAUCAGGAUCAACCUGAAAAUAGCUGGCUGCUUCCUUCAGCUUACCAUCCAUCCCAUCUGAUAAUGUAUUAAAACUCUCAUCUAGACCAUCAAGGAUACUAGAUCUGUUUCCAGAAUUGAAUGUGGAGCCUAUACUAGAUCUAUCAUAAGACUUUUCAGCGUCGUCAAGCUUUCUGAAAAAGGAGUUUGAACUUGGCCUGCUACCCGAACUAUCACCAAAAAUUCGUCUUUCAAAGUCUUCAGCAGACUCAAAUGAGUUGGUGCUUUGCUUAUCAUCAGAGGCUGUGUAGUGACAAGGAAAGUUGUGUCCAUUACCAGGGAUGUAGAUAAAAUGCAUAUAAUGAAAAAGGUGAUGAUGACCAAUGAUGAAGAAGCACAUAAUUACACAAUAAAGAAGAAUCAGAUAAAGCUAGAGCGUCUUAAAGAUGAAAAUUAGUAAUGUCAAUUAGGAUUGUCCAAUAUGAAAGGCAGACAAUUUGUGAAGGAUUAGUGAGCCAGUAAAAUAUCAUCCAAGAGAUGCUUGACCAUGUUAGAAUUAUUUCCACUAUCCAAUCACAGGAUGCCGAUUGUCAUUGUAUGUUCAACAUGCUCAGCUAUUUAAAACUCCUAAACAACUUCAUAUUUUUUUUUGAGAAAUAACUCCUAAACAGUUUUCUCCUAAAACAGUUUUUUUCCUGAGUGAUCUUGGAAGAUGUAUGAGGAAAACCAAUAUUGACCAAGGCUCAUUUAAGAAGCGAUUAAUCCCUGAAGUUCAAAAGAGUUCAAGGAGGGCAAUUCGUAUCUCAAGUUGAGCUAAGGAGUGCACAGUUCUACUUAAUUCAAACACUAAAAAUGAAAUUUCUGAACAACGAGAACCGACCAGAUCUAAAUAGUUUGAGGUCAGCCACCUCCAUUUUCUGGCGUAAAGUCAAUAGAAAAUUGCUGAACACCGAUAAUAGGAUUCAAAAUAAGGUCAAUAAAACUAAAUUUGCACAUUUUCAGUUAGAGAAACUACAAAUUAGCAUGAUAAAGUAAGGAAUUCAUUAGAAAAUUGAAUAAACAGUAGUACCUACCAAAAUUCGGAAGUGCAGAAAAAGUCUGAUGAUGAGAUGAAUAACGAGAUAGGCAAGCGUUGGCAGUCCUUAAGACACCUCGGACAAUCUUCAUCUUGGUGACGACGGUGGCAGCAGCGGAGAUGGAAAACGGAUUCGCCGAUUUGAUUCCUAUUUGGAUAAUGGAAGCGUAGAGUGCUGUACAUGGGCUUUGAAAAUGGAGCUUUGGGCUGUGGAUAAGUAAAUUAUUGGGCUACAUAAACUCAAUUUUGAGGGAUAAACUUUAAUUCUUACUUUAAAAUUGCGCGAAUACAGCCCAAAGAGUUGCCAACACACUAUUUUUCAACAUAUACAUAUCUACUUCAAAAUAAACUUCAUCCAAUUUCAAAAUAAACUAAAUCCAACUUCAAAAUAAACUAAAAAACGAUCAAACAACUAAACAACCUUAACUCUAACUAGUUUUGACUUAAUUCCAACAACUAAAUCUACCAACUAAAUCACAUAUUUUUAACAACUUUAACUAGUUUAGUUUUGACUUAAUUCCAACAACUAAAUUCACCAACUAAAUCACAUUAUUUAUUUUAAUUUAUCUAAACAACUUAACAACUUUUUAACUUGAACUAGUUUAGUUUUGACUUAAUUCCAACAACUAAAUCCACCAACUAAACCACAUUAUUUAUUUGAACUUAUUUAAACUUAUUAACUCUAACUAGUUUUACUUAAAUCCACCAAACUAAACCACAUUGUUUAUUCGAACUUAUUUAAACAACUAAACAAUAUUAACUCUUACUAGUUUUGAAUUAACUCCACCAACUAAACCAAAUGAUUUAUUUGAACUUAUUUAAACAACUUUAACUCUAACUAGUUUUGACUUAAUUCCAACAACUAAAUCCACCAACUAAACCACAUUAUUUAUUUGAACUUAUUUCAACAACUAAACAACUUUAACUCUAACUAGUUUUGACUUAAUUCCAACAACUAAAUCCACCAACUAAACCACAUUAUAAUUUUUAUUUGAACUUAUUUAAACAACUAAACAACUUUUACUAGUUUAGUUUUGAAUUAAUUUAAAACUAAAUCCACCAACUAAACCACAUUAUUUAAUUUAACUUAUUUAAACAACUUAACAACUUUAACUAGUUUAGUUUUGACUUAAUUCCAACAACUAAAUCCACCAACUAAACCACAUCAUUUUAAAUAAUGAGUCAAACUAGCUAGGGGUUGAUUAAACUUUAUUUGAACUUAUUUCAACAACUAAACAACUUUUUUUAACUCUUAACAAUUUUGACUUAAUUCCAACAACUAAAUCCACCAACUAAACCACAUCAUUUUAAAUAAUGAGUCAAACUAGCUAGGGGUUAAUUAAACUUUAUUUGAACUUAUUUCAACAACUAAACAACAUUAACUAUAACUACUUUGGAAUUAAUUCCAACAACUAAAUCUACCAAUUAAUAGGAUCAACUAGUGUUGGUACUUAUGCUUAUCAAACACAUUAUUCCUAAAUUAAAGCUUAGUAUCAACACUAGAUGGACACAAAUCGAUCUUGCAAGAAAAUCAAUUUUGUCAUCAAUAGGAUCAACUAGUGUUGGUACUUAUGCUUAUCAAACACAUUAUUCCUAAAUUAAAGCUUAGUAUCAACACUAGAUGGACACAAAUCGAUCUUGCAAGAAAAUCAAUUUUGUCAUCAAUAGGAUCAACUAGUGUUGGUACUUAUGCUUAUCAAACACAUUAUUCCUAAAUUAAAGCUUAGUAUCAACACUAGAUGGACACAAAUCGAUCUUGCAAGAAAAUCAAUUUUGUCAUCAAUAGGAUCAACUAGUGUUGGUACUUAUGCUUAUCAAACACAUUAUUCCUAAAUUAAAGCUUAGUAUCAACACUAGAUGGACACAAAUCGAUCUUGCAAGAAAAUCAAUUUUGUCAUCAAUAGGAUCAACUAGUGUUGGUACUUAUGCUAAACAAAUACAUUAUCACCUAAUUUAAAGCUAAGCCAACCCUCGAUGGACACAAAUAAAUUAUCACAAAAUUAAAGCCUAGUAUCAAUACUAGAUGGACACAAACACAUUAUAGAAAACAAUUGUACUUGAACUUUAGAAAUUUAAACACAUUAUAGAUAACGAAUACUGUCUUAUUGAUUAAAGGUCUCCUUUUUUAUAGGAGCAUGCUGAAAUUAGUUUCUGAAAUGUUGUGCGCUCAAGGAGGUCAGAAGUUGAGUCCUUAUCUAUGUGCGCAUGUUAGUGGUUUCCAUACUUCAAAGGUAAAAUGGUUUGACUUGAUGCUACUACUUCAUGCAGCCUUUCUAUGUUCAUAUGUGCAUACAUAAUAUUGGCAGGAGUGACUGAAUGUUCUUGCUUCUGCCUUAUUGACUUGAAUGGUUCUCCAAUAGGACAUGGCUAUUUAUACCUAAGCUCCACUUGUUAAUUCUGAGGCUUCUUGUUUGUUUUAUCCAGUGGUGUGUUUGUAUAUCUUUCAAACAAAGACGGUCUUUACGUAAAAUAAAUGCAGAAGAGUGCUCACUAACUUCCAUACAACUGACUCUUGGGUAAGAUGACUGAUGAAUGUCACAAAUUGCUUGGGAAUCAGUAUGUCUUCUUGUUUCCAUACAAAGAUUGUUGGAAUGAACUCUAUUGUUUCAGAGUGUCAGUUUCAUAUUGAGAUAAAGGCUGCAGUGAGUCAAGAGUUAAUUUUUCUCUAGAGAGUCUAGACUCCUAAUAAAUCUACAUUCACAGACAUUGUUUCUCCUUCCAUCCCAAGUUUGAUUAUCUAGUUUUGCCAGUCUCAUAUAACUAGAGCUUAAAUAAAUUUGAAUAGUUUUAGAGUUCUAAUAUUAGAGUUAUUUACAGACGUGUUUGAGAAAUUGUUGGACACUACGUAAACUUCAAUUUAGCUUUAUUACAAGUACUGUUAUGUAUGUAUGAUGAUUAAUCAAAUACCUGGAUUACUAGAAUUUCGCCGAAGAGGAGAGGAAUGGAGAUGCGAGGGUCUCGCUGUUGUUGUUGUCGUCUUCGAUGGGGUUCGCCGGAGUUGGCUGCUCGUCGCUCGCUGGUCAGAGCAGCUGGAGCUGCUGUUUGUUGUUUUCGUCCUCACUGGAGUGAAGGAGAAGAGAGAAAGAGACUCGCCGGUCGGAGCUGGUCCUCGCACUGCUUCUGGCCGGCGCGGCUUUCGCUUGCUGGCGAGAAGAACGGAUCGGAGGCGCCACCCGGUUUCCGGCUGGUUUUCGCGGUUGCUCGCUGGCCGGCGCCGUUCGCUGCUUCGCCUGAGCUGCUAGGAGAAUAGAGGAGAGGGAGAGAUGGGGAGGAGGAGAUGAGAGGAAGAUGAAGAAAGAAGGAUGGCUUAUACCAUCUCCAACCCCACUCUAUUUUACUCUCCAUUCUCUAUAUUUGGAGAGUAAAAUAGAGAAAGGGCUCUCCAACCACCCUCUAAAUUACUCUCUAUUCUCCAUUUAUAGAGAGGUGAAUAGUAGUUCUCCACUAUUCACACUCUCUAUUUCACUUUUUCAUUAUUUUAUUAUUAUUUUCUAUUAUUUUGUAGUUAACAUAUUAUUUUUNNNNNNNNACAACAAUAAUUUAGAAAUCCGGUAGGUCGUUUCUAGAUUUAGCACUAUUCGGAAAAAAAUAAGAUAUGAUUCCGAGAAUUGUUGCGAUUGUGGUUGUGAUUGCGGUUGUGACUGCGGUUGUGAUUGUCGAUUUCUUUUUUCAAGUAUUCGUUGUUGUUCUCGUUGCAGGUAAUCACGAAUAUUUGGAUCACUAAUAGUUUCUAAAUUUUUCAUUAAAAUUUUAGUUUCGUCUCUUAAAUUCCUUGGCUUUGAUAUAUCUAUCUAGCCUUUCGCCAUCCUGUUGUUUGGAUGUAGCAGACUCUGAUUAACAUCUUCCCAAGUCGAUUAUUUUCGGUUUUCGAAAAGUUUCAUAGCUGACGAAAGACCUUCAUCUUUUGAUCUUUUUAAUUUUGAUUUCUUCACCCCAAUAGGCUGUUCAGAUGAAGUGUAAUGACCUGAAAAAUUCUCAUUUAAAUUAAGUGAAAAAGAUGAUAAGUUAGGAGAUGAUACUAUAGGUGAUGUAGGACUAGGAGCCUCGGACUCCGAUGAUUGCAAAGUAGAGCCUUGGCCUCGAACUUUUUUCUUUCCGAUGUCGAUAUCCUUAAACUUUUCAAAAUCUUUCAUGAGAUUCNNNNNNNNNNNNNNNNNNNNNNNNNNNNNNNNNNNNNNNNNNNNNNNNNNNNNNNNNNNNNNNNNNNNNNNNNNNNNNNNNNNNNNNNNNNNNNNNNNNNNNNNNNNNNNNNNNNNNNNNNNNNNNNNNNNNNNNNNNNNNNNNNNNNNNNNNNNNNNNNNNNNNNNNNNNNNNNNNNNNNNNNNNNNNNNNNNNNNNNNNNNNNNNNNNNNNNNNNNNNNNNNNNNNNNNNNNNNNNNNNNNNNNNNNNNNNNNNNNNNNNNNNNNNNNNNNNNNNNNNNNNNNNNNNNNNNNNNNNNNNNNNNNNNNNNNNNNNNNNNNNNNNNNNNNNNNNNNNNNNNNNNNNNNNNNNNNNNNNNNNNNNNNNNNNNNNNNNNNNNNNNNNNNNNNNNNNNNNNNNNNNNNNNNNNNNNNNNNNNNNNNNNNNNNNNNNNNNNNNNNNNNNNNNNNNNNNNNNNNNNNNNNNNNNNNNNNNNNNNNNNNNNNNNNNNNNNNNNNNNNNNNNNNNNNNNNNNNNNNNNNNNNNNNNNNNNNNNNNNNNNNNNNNNNNNNNNNNNNNNNNNNNNNNNGUAAGUUUUGCUUUUUACCAUGGGAUGGAUUUCACUAUAUUUUUAACCAUUGGAUGAGAUUUUCAUCCUUAUCUCAAUUUUUUUUUUAGAUAAGUAAAAAUUAUCUAUAAAUAUUAAUAGGAUAGUGUAAUCUUCAUUUUCACCAUGGGAUGGAUUUCACUGUAUUUUUAACCAUAGGAUGAUAUUUUCAUCCUUAUCUCAAAAAAUUACUUCUAGAUAAAAUAAAAUUACUAUGUAGAUAAAUAGAAUAGAAUGUAAUUUUGAUUUUUACUAUUGGAUGAAUUUCAUCAUAUUUUUAAUCGUAGGAUGAGAUUCUCAUAGUUAUCUCAAAGUUAUUUUAGAUAAAUAAAUUAUAUGUAGAUAUUAAUCGAGUAAAACCUAUCCGCACAUAAUGUAUACAACAAUCUAAUACAUGCAUCUCAUGUGUUUGAAUUUAUAAUUCAUUUUACGCAAUUUUAAAACCUAUCCGCACAUAAUGUAUAUUUUCUUGCAAUUUAUGUUAUUUAAAAAUUUAGAAUAAAAAAUAAUUUUAUAUCACAUUAAAAAUUAUAUAAAGUAAUUAUUUGGGAAAAAAGAAAUAAAGGAUUUAUAUUAUGAAAUAAGAAAAUAAGAAUGAAAUAGAAAUAAUAAUAUAAUAUUGAGGAGAGAGAAAAAGAUUCAUUUUUAGAGAGUAAAAUAGAGAAUUGGGUUGGAGUUGGUUGUCUGAAAAAAUAGAGAACUCUAUAUUUGGAGAGUAAAAUAGAGGAUUGGGUUGGAGAUGCCCUUAGGGUUUUGGUUCUUUUGGUUUAUUUAAAAUAGAUAAGAAUGAAGAUUUAAUCUCAGUCUUUUGUUUGAAUGAUAUGGACGAUCAAGAUUUGAUCUUGUAGUUGAUUUGGAUGAAUGAAUGGCUGAGAUUAAAGGAUGGGGCUUUUGAGAAUUGAAUUGAAUCAUAGGCUAUAAUUGAAAAGUGUUGAAAGGCUAUAAUUGAAAUAAGCAACUGGCCAUAAUUGACAUGAAAUUGAAUAUGAAAGGCUGGAGUUGAAAUAGAAUUGGAUAGGAGAAUUAAACAAAUUGAACAAAAGAGGUUAUGAUUUAAAUGAUUUAAGGAGAGAUUAAGGAAAUGCUAUUCAAUUAAUAAAAUACUACAUAUAUUAAAAUAUUUUCAUAUAAAUUAAACACACGUAAAUUUAAAAACAUUUAAAUAAGGAGUUAUUUCAAGUUUAACUAUUGAUAAAUAUAAUAAUUUAAUAAUAAUAAUUGAUAAUUUUGUAAAUUAGCGAUACUAUAAUAUAUAAUUUUAGACAAAAUCGAUCAAGAUUUUAAAACUCGUAAUAUGUUUUAAAAAUACGUAUUUAAUCGAAUAAGUCGGUCAAAAUCGGGUGUCAACAAUAUAUAUAUAUAGAAGAGUAUCUAACCUUUACCAGAUACAUCUAUACCCUCAACUAUAUCUCAGUUGAAAAAAUUAAAGAUUUUAAUGUUAAGGCCACUGGAGUUGACAAAAAACUCCCCCUAUAUAUAUAUAGCUCCUAAUUAUAUAAAUUUAAUUUUAUCGAUCAACAUAAGUUUAUCAAUAUCAAAUUUAAUAUAUAAAUCUCCUUAAAUUGAUCAUCGGUAUUUCUUUAAUUGAUAAUAUAUUUCAUAUCUGAAACAUUAAUAUAUAAGACUUGAUUUGUUAAACUACUCGACGAGUAUAUAAUCAACAUAUUUCAUACUCCAAUGAAUUAUCCUUUACAUGUCAGUGCCUACGGUAUGAUCACUACACUUGACAUCCAUUCAAAAUCGAACGUAAAAAUCUUGAUAGAACUUGCUUUGUACAGUACUUUACAAUGUUCUAUUGUCUAUUUCAUAAAAUGAAAAUUUAGUAUUAUGCACAAUAGCAAAAUUAUGAUUAAUAGGAGUAUUUUAAACAAAUCGACCUCCGGAUGUCGCGUUUAUUAAAAGUAAUUAGAUUAAAUAAAAAAUACCGACCUCAUGAGGUCGGUAUCACAUUAAAUUGUAAGAUAAAUAAAAAGUAGUCAUGUUAAUUAAAUAAUACUGACAUAAGGAAGUCGGUAUUUUAUAUUAAUUUAUUUUUGAACUUAUAUAAAACCGUCAUCCGGAGGACGAUUUAUUUAAAGUUAAUUGAAAAUAUUAAUUUAUUAAUUUUCUGGAAGUCACUAUAUAAAUAUUUUAAUGAAAAUUAAUUUAAUUACAUACUAUUUAAUUUUACUGACUUCCGAAAGUCGGUAUUAUCAUUCUUUUGUUUUUUAUUUUACACAAAACCGUCCUCCGGAAGACGAUUUAAAUAAAAUUAAUUCAAAAUAUUUCUCAAUUUUGUUUUUUAUAUUUAAUUGAGAAAAAAUAAAAUAUUGUUAUUUAUUGAUUUAUUUAAUACCGACAUCAAGAGGUCAGUUUUUAUUGUAAUUCAUUUUUUUUGGGAAAAUUUCGACCUCCAGAGGUCGGUAUUUGAUUUUUCCGCUUUAUUUUUCAUAAAAACCGACUCCUUGUAGUCGGUUUUUUAAAGUUUUUUUACUUUUUUAUUCUUUUUAACAAUAUCGACCUCCAGAGGUCGGAAAUUACCGACUUCUAUUUGAGGUCAGUAAUUUUUAGGUCGGUAUUUAUUGUCUUUUUAGUAGUGGAACAAGUGACGACCAUAAUGAAGCAAGAACAUAAUUAGUCAACACUAUCAAGAACACACAUGAGGACUUAGACCCCCACACCACGCUCUUUUGGGAAAUGAAUUCUUUGAGAUUGAGUGUAUUAAGUUAUAUUAAUAUGCUUUCCUUUAAUGUUAUUUUAAUAAAUAUGGAUCAAAUAGUAGAGGGCCAAGUGGAUAGCCAGUUUGAUUGCCUCCCGAAAGUGAACCCCUGCUUAUUUUGAGCAUGUUCGAGGGUUACUUAUAUUGAGCAUGUUGGAGGCCACUACAAGUGUUGUUCUUCUAUCCACAUAUCGUAAUAUUACAAGGUGAGACUUGGGGAAAUAUGGUGAUAUUGAAAAAGUUUGGACAAAUUAGGAAUUAAUUUUGAUCGGCAGCGAGUAAUGAUUUGUAAUAAUAAUUUUCUAAGGUAAGAAAAGCAUGACAAACCAUUUUGAUAAAAAAGGAAGAGUAACUAUAAUAAGAUAGUGCAAUAAUCCAAGUACUAGAGAUAGUAGAAUGUAAAAGAAAUCGGAGGACAAAAAUUACUGGAGAAAUACUACUACUACUAUUAAUGAAGGAUAAACAAGACAAUACUAUACUACUACUAACAUCUUACCGUAAUUUGUGUCAUCUACAACCUCAUAUCUAAAGUCAUGUAUCUGAUGUGAAUUUUUGUUUUCUUAGGGUCUUCAUGUUGGGUUAUGAAGGUGAUAAGGACGUUAUGCGAAAACUUACAAUUGCAAAUCAUAUGAUCGAUAAAUGAGACGACAAAAACUUAUACUAAAAAACAUAACAUUAUUAUACGAAAACUAAUAUAAAAGAAAAAUAUUAGAACAAUUGAGAGAAUAAAUCUCCCCAUAAACUAAACUCUUAAAUGUCUACAUUGUGGAUGUUCUUGUGUUAUGCUAUGAGAAUAGAGAUCUUCAAACUUUUCAUCUAAGAAAAGAAUAAACCAAAUAUGGAAGAAGAAUAUAUUUUUCUUUCAUGAAAAAUAAAAACAUUUAUGAUAAUGUUUUGUCUUUUCCUUUAGGAAAAAAUAAACUUCAACUAAAGAAGAAAAUCAGGCAAAACCCUAACACUUCACUCUUCAAUGCAUGUUCAUUGCUUGUCUACUUGAGACUUCACUUGUAUAGUAAACUCUCAUGUUUAAGUAGGCCAUAAUGAGUAGAAUCCUAAUCAAAAUAACAGUAGACACACUUGUAUGUCUUAAUGUAACAAACUCAAGUUACCACACAAUGAGGAUAUCUAUUAUAAUCGUUGACAAUACAAAAUACAAUUGAGAAAUGGAAACAACAAGCAAGUAACCACUAGCGAUCCUUAAAACGAAACUCAGAAUGUAAUCAAAAGGGGGAGAAGAUCAGAAAUUACAGAGAUGGAUAGAAGGGGAUGAGAAGCUUAGACUAAGAAGGGGAUGAGAGGAAACACUCUUUUCUUUAACAAUUUGCAUAAGUCCAAUUUGCUCUCCCAAGUCGUAUUUAUCAACCCGAAUCCCAAACAUAGUCUGGCCCAAUUGCUUGUUCUCGGCCCAAUAGGUCUUGCCAGCCCAACAACUAUUUGUGUGAUCUUGGUAUUCCUAUUGGGUUGGACUUGGUUCAUAACACUUAAUUCAGUACAAUAGUUACAUAUAUAACUGAUUGUAGGAUCAAACAGUUGCAGACUAACAAUCGUUUCAUAUCCUAAAAUCUGACAAAGCAGAUUUCCCUCCUAUCCCUGUUGCAUUAUAAUGAUCUGCAUAGUCCUUCACACUAGUUUCCCUAUACCUCGCGGGAUUAUCUUUUGAUAACAACUCCUUAAUUGGUCCAUAAACUCUUGAUGAUAACGAAUGACCCGUGGUAAAGAAACUGGCCACCGAUACUCUUGGACCAACACCGCUUGCCAGUACUCUGUGUGCAAUGCUCUUCAACUUGUCAUUUGAUAUGAGCUGCAAAUUUUCCAACAAAACUGAGUUUAGCACAUUUCAAAUUCAAAUCUAAAAAUAUCCCAAUUUUUGAAUCAUUUCUAAGAAACCUGCCACAAGAGCACCAUCACCACCACCAACAACAACAAAAACAUUGUAAUGGCCACAAUUGGGUCUGGGGAGGAUAGAGUGUAUGCGGACAGCAUACUUUACUCUUACCUUGGGAGGUAGAAAUAUUGUUUUUGAUAAACUCUUGCCUCAAUGAAGAGCAUGAUAUACUAUGAUAUAUGAGUUUAUGCCACAAGAUUAACAACAACAACGAUAAUAAGCCCAAUGUAAUCCCACAAGUGGAGUCUGAGGAGGAUAGAGUUUAUGCAGAACUUACCCCUACCUUAGGAGGUAGAGGAGGUUGUUUCCGAUAAACCCUCAACUCAAUGAAAAACAUGAUAUGCUUUCUAUAUGAGUUUAUGCCACAAGAGCAACAACAACAAGAACAAUAAUAAACCCAGCGUGAUCCCACAAGUGAGGUCAGAAUAGAGUUUAUGCAGACCUUAUCCCUACCUUGACAGGUAAAA
This 14862-nucleotide long non-coding RNA is filed under the name Solanum tuberosum (potato). Its description in RNAcentral is "long non-coding RNA (STUB_LNC006556)". The record is from RNAcentral. Lineage: Eukaryota; Viridiplantae; Streptophyta; Magnoliopsida; Solanales; Solanaceae.